GUGAGUCAUCGAAUCUUUGAACGCACAUUGCGCCCGCCAGUAUUCUGGCGGGCAUGCCUGUUCGAGCGUCAUUUCAACCCUCAGGCCCAGCCUGGCGUUGGGGAUCGGCGCGGCCCCUCCGGGGGCUGCCGGCCCCGAAAUCUAGUGGCGGUCUCGCUGUAGUCCUCCUCUGCGUAGUAGCUAACACCUCGCACUGGAACGCGGCGCGGCCAUGCCGUUAAACACCCCACUUCUGAAAGUUGACCUCGGAUCAGGUAGGAAUACCCGCUGAACUUAAGCAUAUCAAUAAGCGGAGGA
Molecule: unclassified non-coding RNA, 297 nt
Filed under: Parvothecium sp.
Lineage: Eukaryota; Fungi; Ascomycota; Sordariomycetes; Hypocreales; Stachybotryaceae
Description: partial contains 5.8S ribosomal RNA, internal transcribed spacer 2, and large subunit ribosomal RNA
Rfam family: 5.8S ribosomal RNA (bases 1-71)
Source: RNAcentral